Molecule: long non-coding RNA, 3893 nt
Organism: Arvicola amphibius (Eurasian water vole)
Lineage: Eukaryota; Metazoa; Chordata; Mammalia; Rodentia; Cricetidae
Exons: 7
Source: RefSeq, a predicted model, not a curated record
AGAUUUUCUCCUGACGCUGGCUUUGGCACACCUACAGUCGGUGCAAAAAUUCCAUUUGUAAUUUUUUAAUUCCAACGGCGAUGGGUGUCUUGGGGUCUCGGAAUUCAGCACAAGUGGCCAGCUGGGACGUGUUAUUCCGCUCUCGAGUCGUGUCAGGGGCAGAUGGAGGACAAGCAGCAGCUUCAUUUAUCAAAGAAAUACUUUCUGAGCAUCAUUCUGCCUUCGCUGCUAGACUGGCCCUGGAUGGAUGAAGAUAAAUGAAAUCUCCCCAGCUUUACUGAGAAUCAGAAAAACAAGAGGUUGGAUUCCACUGGGAUCCUCACUUUUGGGGCUUAUUCUUCUCGGGUUGAUGCUGAUGGUUCAAAAAAAGCAAGGAAAGAAAGAAGCCGUGUACUUGGCCAGUGGGUCAAGUGAAGUUCUUCUUGAGACCUCUAUAUAGCUCAGUGUACAACCCCUUGGCAGCCUCCGUCUACUCAAGAGGAAACAGAUGGCGGGACACCUGUUUCCUGUAGCUGCCCCAGAGUCUGUUCGAGUGAGCGGCCAGUCUUUACAUAGAUCCGUGUUGAAACCUGGCUUGUUUUGUAAGGACGGGAUCCAGGAGGGACUCACCGCUACGCAUGGAUUCCUUCGAUGUCCUGGUUCUGGAGGUGAUGUAAAGGUGAUGGAUGGUACUUUCUUCUCUCAGUUGGAAGGACUUAGAAGGCUGAAUAAAAAGUGAGACUCUGCGGCCAGUAUGGCGGAGCUGGCAUGGCAGGAAGACUGCAGCGGCGAACCGUUUGCUCCGAAAGGUGACAGCUACAGGGUCAUUUUAGCCCAGAUGUCCCAACCCUGCUUUUUAUUUCACAGCAAACAGAGAAUUGAAUGAAUCUCAAGCCGUAGAUAUUUCUCCGGUCUAUUUUUAAACACACACUGGCUCUUUCCCAGAAAGAGGAGAAACAAAAAAUUCACUGGCAGACAAGCUUUACCUUUUCCAUUGAAUUUCCUGAGGAGAGAGAGGGAAAAAAAAAAAAAAACCCUCUGGAAACCCAGAACAGAUGGAGCCUCAUGAAGAACACUGCGGAAGAGGAACUUAACAAAGUACUUAGGAGAAAGCAAAACACUCAGAAAGACCUGUCUUUAAAAAACUCAGUCGACGGGAGACAAAGUAUCUGAUGGAGUAAAUAUUUGCCUUUCUUUGAAGAAACUGGGUAUGAUAAAAACAAUCACAUUAAAUUGUUCUCCAGGCUGCUCUGUCAGGCAUGGAUCCUAAGGAUUUCCAGUCUGAUUUGGGCAACUCGGAUAAGGCUUAGAGAACGGAUAAAAAUGUUACUCAUUACCAUGUAUUCUCUUUCUCCUAGCCAUGAAACCGUUCUUUAGGUAUCAGAAAAGUUAAAUUUAGAAGUCUAAACGCCGGGUGGGGAUGCAAAGAACUGAGCUGAUCCCACGUUCAGAAGCCAUGCUGUUCUCAGACUGGCAUAAGAAAGCCACUCCACCCUGAUAUCCCGACAGGUGUAGCGUGGGAGCUGGCCUCUGCUGGGGCAGAGGGCUCUGAGCACUGGGAUUGCUCCUCGGGUCCCUGUGACUCUCAGGCUGCACACCUGCUACCAGAUGAGCUGUGACCUCGAGCACGUGACGCUGAAGCCAGUGAAAUGGCCAGAAACAAACAAACAAACAAACAAACAAACAAACAAACAAACCACCGGAAGGGAGAGUCUCGAGUCUCCGACUCAGCAGGGGUCUUUGCCAAGUAGAGUUUGUUUGUUGCAGCUUUUAUUUUUAUGUCUUAAGUGACAAACCCUUCUUGAGUUUCCAAAGAAAAGAGAGAAAUAAGCUCCCAUUUUUUUUUAUAUCAAUGAAGGUGUCAGGCUGCAAGGGACCCAAACACCUUCUCAAGAAUAAAACAGAGAGGAAACAUAGCAAGCUAGCCCACAGAAAGAAGUCCUGCAAAACACAGUGAGAGCAGAACCUCCCUUGGAGGGAAGCUGGGGGUGUGUGUCCUUGUCUGAAGAUGGGAGGGGAGUAAAAAGGAAGGAAGGUUAAUGUCUUGAUGAAGCCAAAUGAACACGUGAAGCGAGUCAGUCUAAUGAGACUGUCCUGUGGCCUCAGGAGGGUGACUAAGAGUGCCCGUCUUUUGGUGCCUCAGGCUAUUUACAGGCUUAAAGAAGCUGGCUGAAGUCUCAGGAUGCUCUCAGAAUCACUUUCUUAUGCCUCUUCAUUUGUGAUUUUCAUUAUGAUUCUCUUUAGAAUCAUCAGAGAGAUGCCUCUGGCUCGCAGACGGGGGUAGGGGAUUAAAAAGCCUGAGUGUGGUGUUGUAAUGAGUCCAGAGAGUUUGGAAACCGUCCUGCCUGUGACUCUGAAUGCUUGGAAUUGCGGGGUGAUUGCAGAGAUGAUUAUCUGAAGGCGGUGGUCAGGCCCAGUUGCAAAUGACUGCCUGAGAGAAAAUGAGGCUUGUGGGGGACCCCUGCAAGCUUCAGAAACCAGCCUGGUUUAAUUACGUCAGUCACUAACGGAGUGCAGGUGACUUACGGGUUUUGAUCAUUUGGCAGACUUGCCUCCUUCAGGGAUAGCCUGUGAUUCAAGACACCAGGUCUGUUCGUGGCAUGGAUCAGAUGUUCAGGACCUCAAAGGGACUGCAACUGGCCCCUGGCCCUCAGGUCAGUGACCUCCUAAGGGAAUUAUUUCUUGUUGUCUAAAGAGGCACUCGGAAGGAAAUGGCUUCUCUUUUCUGCCAUUGGAAAACUAGAUUAUUUACUUAUCCGCCUACCUGCCUUUGUUAUGUUAAACAAGUAUUUUCUUAGUAGCUGUGUGCCAGGCACUGUGACAGAUAAACUCUGGAUGAAGCUGUCAAAUAGUACCCUCGUGGAGUUUACAUUCUAAUAUGAGUCCAAUAUAAGAACGUGAAUAUAGAUGAAUGUCUAAGAUCGUCAAAUGAACUCUGGAGAAAAUACAUGAGGUGACGUGGAAGUGAAUAAAAGGUGGAUAAAAUAAGUAAAAGUCACCUUAGUGGGUGCUCAGGUCUCACAGAGCCACAUCCAGAAAAGAGGAAAGCAGGGUUGGGGAAGGAGGGCGAGUAACAGUAAAAAAUACAGCGGUAAAGGGCAAAGCCGUGGAGCAGAGAUUGAGGCACGCUCUGACAUGAGCCCAGGGAAAACUGAUGCUGGGUGAGGGCAGAGGAACAAGAAAGUGACCUUUCAUCCUGAGAGCACCAGGACAUUACUGGGGCCUUUUAAAGAUGAGAGUAGUUCUGGCUGCAAAUGGCUGCCUGAGAGAAAAUGACGAGCCUCAUUUUCACCAGCUCACUUUUGACUGCUGUAUGGAAAAUGUGUUAGAAGGAGAUAAAUACGGAAGCAAUGAGACCAAUGUCGAGGCCGGAGGGAGCUGCUGUAAACUGCACGUGGAUUCCCUUCAACUUCACAGGACUGAGAGAGAUCACCGAGGAAGGGCAAGAGGUGGAGCAAGAGGCUGGCUCAAGACCUUCUCUGAGAACGUUUGGUAUUUGGAGAAAAAGCAGAGAUAGAAUGGAAGGGGAGGGGAGGAGACGAAAGACUCCAUUGAAAGAUUGCCCUUGCUCUUCCGACUGAGCUAUUUGUUUCGUUGUCGCCGGCAGCACAUGGCUGUAGACAGACACAGCCGAGCAAUCACAGUCGUAGCUCAGCUCUGCCGCGGCUGACAGAAACGAUGUGCGCCCAAGACGCCCAGACAGUGACAAAGCGGGCUAUCCCAUAAAGCAGGUUUCUUCAUUGCUUCACAGGGGGAAAGGGGCUCGGGGAGGGCGCCACGCCUUUCCGGGCUCAACCUGACCGGCUGGCAACACGGAGAGUCUUUUCAUACAAACACUUGGCUAUGAGAGCCAGACCCUGCCUUUUCAAACCAAGUACCCUGUCUAAUAAAAACGCAAUGCUUAGCAACAGAAA